GCAGCAGGCACGCUGACCUCUGGCUCAGAUAGAGAGAGGGAUUCCAGGAGCCCUGAGAACUGUCCACGCCUCGGAGCCCUCCACAGGGCUCCCUCUCCUGCAGAUGGAUUUGUGACUCUGUCAAGUGUCACGCACACCCCAGCGUUGCUGGGUGGCACCAGCGACAUGUUUUGUGCGCUACACAGAUUGCAGUGUUUUGCGGCAGAAGAGCGUGAACUUUAGACCUGGCCGGGACCCCAUUUUCACCCCCCGUUGCGUGGGCAGAUCAAAUCAACCCCACUGACACUCCCCGAGGCUCAAUUCCAGCAGGGACGCCUGGACCAGAGAGAGAAGGCAGAGACUGGACUGAAGUCCGCCGGAAAGAUGACAAAAUUGGGGCCCAGAGAGGUUAAGUACCAUGUGCCCAGGUCACAGAGCUGGUCAGUGGCAGAGCAAGGAUUCAAGCCCAGGCAGCAUCCACGUGUUGAAGAAAAGCCACCACACUAUUUGCAUUUUUGUCGCUGUUGGGCUUCUGUAUCUGUAUCUGAGCCUGAGACUGACCGUUAAGGUGUCCCUGAGUCUCUGGGUCAGCCCCAGGAGGGCCAAGGAAGAACCGUUCAAUCCCCGGGCUACCUGUGCCCUCAGAGACUAGGGCACCGUGGGAGCCUCAAACUCCCUUAGGUAUCAGCACCAUCUAGAAGCUGACAUCUCCCCAUAAGGGGACACAUUUUCAAAUUUAUGUAGAAGCUGUUGAAUAAAACCCAUACUCAUUUAAAAGUAUUACUGAA
Molecule: long non-coding RNA, 767 nt
Organism: Kogia breviceps (pygmy sperm whale)
Lineage: Eukaryota; Metazoa; Chordata; Mammalia; Artiodactyla; Physeteridae
Source: RefSeq, a predicted model, not a curated record